RNAcentral lists this long non-coding RNA (703 nucleotides) under Mytilus galloprovincialis (Mediterranean mussel). The record is from RNAcentral. Lineage: Eukaryota; Metazoa; Mollusca; Bivalvia; Mytilida; Mytilidae.
AAAAAUUCAUAAUCUUAAAAAUUUUGGAAUAAAAACAUUUGAAAAGCUGUUUACAUCAUGUGUCGUACCGAUUUUAGACUAUAACUCAUCUGUCUGGGGUUUUAAAGACUAUGCAUGUGUUAACUUGGUACAAAACAAAGCCAUUCGUUAUUUCUUAGGUGUUCAUAAAUUCGCCCGAGAAGAUUGCUACAAAUGGUGAUGUUGGAUGGCUGCCAUGUAAAGAAAGACACUGGUACAAUAUAAUUAGACUAUGGAACAAGCUUAUUCGAAUGGACGAUUCACGCGUAUGUAAACAGGUUUUCAACUGGGACCUUGAACGGUGUUUGAACAAUUGGUCAUCAGAUAUGAAACUUAUUUUGUCACACAUUGACUUGGAAGAUUAUUUCCACCAAAAACAAACUUGUGAUAUUUCUCUUGUAAAAGACAGACUUUUCAUGUUGUGUUCCACUGAAUGGGAAAACUCUAUUACAAACUUUCCGAAAUUGCGGACAUAUAAAACAUUCAAAUCAGAAUAUAAAUGUGAAACAUAUGUUGGACUGAACCUCACUCGUUCUGAACGUUCUAUACUGGCACAAUUUAGAUGCGGCAUACUUCCUUUGAGGAUCGAAACCGGACGGUUCGUCGGAGAAGCAGAAGCUGACCGCAUUUGCAAAAUGUGUGACUCACGUGAUGUUGAAAAUGAACGCCACUUCCUGAUGGACUG